GUGGCUGAGGCUCAGUGGUAGAGCGCUUGCCUAGCAUGUGCGAGGCGCUGUGUUCUAUCCUCAGCACCACA
This 71-nucleotide transfer RNA is filed under the name Marmota monax (woodchuck). Its description in RNAcentral is "tRNA.Ala". The record is from RNAcentral. Lineage: Eukaryota; Metazoa; Chordata; Mammalia; Rodentia; Sciuridae.